UUCCUACGGGAGGCAGCAGUGGGGAAUUUUGGACAAUGGGGGCAACCCUGAUCCAGCCAUGCCGCGUGAGUGAAGAAGGCCUUCGGGUUGUAAAGCUCUUUCAGCCGGGAAGAAAUCGCAUCUCCUAAUACGGGGUGUGGAUGACGGUACCGGAAUAAGAAGCACCGGCUAACUACGUGCCAGCAGCCGCGGUAAUACGUAGGGUGCGAGCGUUAAUCGGAAUUACUGGGCGUAAAGCGUGCGCAGGCGGUUUCGUAAGACAGAUGUGAAAUCCCCGGGCUCAACCUGGGAACUGCAUUUGUGACUGCGAGGCUAGAGUAUGGCAGAGGGGGGUGGAAUUCCACGUGUAGCAGUGAAAUGCGUAGAGAUGUGGAGGAACACCGAUGGCGAAGGCAGCCCCCUGGGCCAAUACUGACGCUCAUGCACGAAAGCGUGGGGAGCAAACAGGAUUAGAUACCCGGGUAGUCA
Molecule: ribosomal RNA, 468 nt
Filed under: uncultured Rhodocyclaceae bacterium
Lineage: Bacteria; Pseudomonadati; Pseudomonadota; Betaproteobacteria; Rhodocyclales; Rhodocyclaceae
Description: bacterial SSU rRNA
Rfam family: Bacterial small subunit ribosomal RNA
Source: RNAcentral